AUUUCUGCAUGUAUCGAAUACAAUUUGGCUCUCGCGUUUCACUCACAACAAAGUCUGGAACGAGAUAAAGCGAAGGGCCUAAGUUACACCCACCAAAAUGACAAGUUUGACAGCUGAUGACAAUCAUUUAUAUUGAAUAUGCAAUGCUUGGCUUGGUUAACGGUACCUCUGCAUGUGGUCGGUCGUCGUAGGCGUUGUGUGAUAAUUAAAUUAAAGAAGCAAGCAAACUCACCGCAAUUUUAUUCAGGCGAGAAGCAGGCGAUAUGAUGGAUGCCCUUCCUUUGUUCGUUAUUCCCUUAGGACACACAUGACAACCAAGAAUUGCUGUUGUCAAAAUUAUUAUUAUUGUUUGCCUGAUGAGAUGAAGACAAGAAAGAGCUUUGGCUGAAAAACGUGAAAAGCAAUGUUACAAUUCGUUCGUUGAAGUUUGGUGAAGAAGCCAUUAUCUUUAAAGCGAUGUGCGGAUAUAAUCAACAACAACUCGAUUUUCACGUUUGCCAGCGUCAGGAAUACGUCUAAAAAGUUUAGUCACAGCCACAAACGAAGAAUAAUGUUUACGAAGCUCAAAGCCACAUGUUAAGAAGAAGCCAUUAUCUAUAAAGUUGAAAGCGAUGUGCUAACAACUUGAUUUUCACGUUUGCCAGCGUCAGGAAUACUUUCAAAGAAGUUUUGACACCGCCAUACACGAAGUAUAAUGUUUACGAAGCGCAAAGCCACAUGUUGUGACAAGCUGAUGAAAAAGCUCGAGUAUCUGUUCAAGGAUUAUCGACG
Molecule: long non-coding RNA, 771 nt
Organism: Xenia sp. Carnegie-2017
Lineage: Eukaryota; Metazoa; Cnidaria; Anthozoa; Malacalcyonacea; Xeniidae
Exons: 9
Source: RefSeq, a predicted model, not a curated record